GAAAUUCGAAGCACCUUCGGUCACGCUUCCUACAAGCAGACCCUAAUGACAGAUCGCUGACGCACGUUCAUAGAUUAGUACACAAGACAUCAGCACACCAAUACACACAGUAACUCCAUAGAACUCAUACAGCGCAAGAAGUUGCUGCUCGCCUCGCUUUUAUCAUCUGUCCAGUAUGUCAUCAACGCGAGAUGGGGCUGGCGGCGGCGGCGGAAGUAGCAGCAGCCGCGGUGUCGGCCUCGCGGUCGGCUCCUUCGCAGAUGAAUGGGCCUUCAACAACUACCACGUGUCCUCCUUCAUGGCGAUGGAGAUGCCGGCGACAAUUGUACCUCGGUUUGUGAUGGACCGUGUCGACUGCCUUGGUGGCAGCUACGGGCCCUUCGCCCCAAACUACCCCGUCGACGUGCCACUCUGGCUCGCCCUCUACUUGCGACAGACCAACACGUGUGCGAUCCAGCCGCCAGACUACCUCCGCGUGGAGUAUUUACGCGACGUCAUUGAGCGAGAGCGGACCAACGAUCAGGGCUUUGAGAGCCUGCCCUUCUACUUCUUCGAGAUUGCUAAGAAGUUGACGGAGAGGGGCGGAGGUAGUAGCGGUGGUGGCGGCGGCUCCGACGACGGGGACACAAUUCCGCACGCGGUGGAAGUCAUCCGUCUUGUCAAUGAAAUACACGCGAUGCGGCAGCAGAAGCUCAAGAAUCUCAUGACAGUCUUUGAGGCGGAAGGGUCACCCAUGUUCAUUCCAGGCGUCUUGCUGACGAACAUCGUUUGCCAUGAGCUGCACUUUCUGCGAGCCAGCUUUGGGAUCGUGCUGCAGCAGGCCGCGUCGAUGGAACGACAGCGGCAGCAGCUGAUACGACUGCCACCCGUCUCCGCCGCCACUCCAGGUCGCUUGCCCUCUACCGUGGGUCGGACGACGCUGACGAGUGGGAUGAGCACUGCGCGCACGACCACGACACUGUCUUCUACAGGCACACCGGACGUCGCCACGACGGCGAUGGACCUCACCUCUAAAAUGGGCUCUGACAGCUUCAUACACGACGGCGUUGCAAACUCGCAAAUAUCAGCGUUGACGGCCGCAACAUCGAUGACAACGGCGAUGGCCGUGAGAUCGGAUGGUGGACCUCAGCCCACUGCGACAGCGGACGUGGCACCGCUGGCGCAGCCCGCAGUGAAAAAGCGUCGCACCCUACGGCAGACGUAGCGGUAGUGCUCAGGCGAAGGAAUGCGCGCACGAAGGGCAGCAUAAGCUAGGGAGGAGUGUUUGUCAGUCUCCGAGUCACUAUUGUGGAGUUCAGAGCAUCAUAUACGUACUUGACGUCUGUGUGGUGCGCGAUGGGUUGUUUUUUGUUGUCUCCUUGUCUCCCACCCCUGCAUGCACAGCCGGAGAGUAAAGAUAUCCGCUAACGUCAGCCACGAGAGCUAGGCGGGACAUCCAGUGCCUCCCUGCAGGCGUGCUUGAGCCCGUCACCUCUUGACCGUUCUCGAUGCGCAGAUUGGUGGAGUGAGACACAAAAAAGCACCGUUUUGGUGUUGCCUAGCAGAAUCGGGAACGUGGAUGUCAGCGCGCAAUCGACGCACACCUUCCGCGGUGCGUUCAGCUUCUCUUUCCUGCCGCUCUUUCGACCUCUUGCCCCCCCCCCUCUUUGUCUGUCUUCUCCUCCUCCCUCGCCCUCCCUCCGCUGGUGCUGCGCCCUUGUGCUUCACUCAG
This 1711-nucleotide unclassified non-coding RNA is filed under the name Leishmania donovani. RNAcentral describes it as "gene:LdHU3.36.5960(CDS-product:GINS_complex_prote in_putative)". Lineage: Eukaryota; Euglenozoa; Kinetoplastea; Trypanosomatida; Trypanosomatidae. The record is from RNAcentral.